RNAcentral lists this ribosomal RNA (433 nucleotides) under uncultured bacterium. Its description in RNAcentral is "partial 16S ribosomal RNA". It matches the Rfam family "Bacterial small subunit ribosomal RNA", at positions 29 to 507 of the family's 1533-position model. The record is from RNAcentral.
AACGAACGCUGGCGGCAGGCCUAACACAUGCAAGUCGAGCGGACCUUUCGGGGUCAGCGGCGGACGGGUGAGUAACGCGUGGGAAUAUGCCCUUCUCUACGGAAUAGUCCUGGGAAACUGGGGGUAAUACCGUAUACGCCCUUUGGGGGAAAGAUUUAUCGGGGAAGGAUUAGCCCGCGUUGGAUUAGGUAGUUGGUGGGGUAAUGGCCUACCAAGCCGACGAUCCAUAGCUGGUUUGAGAGGAUGAUCAGCCACACUGAGACUGAGACACGGCCCAGACUCCUACGGGAGGCAGCAGUGGGGAAUCUUAGACAAUGGGGGCAACCCUGAUCUAGCCAUGCCGCGUGAGUGAUGAAGGCCUUAGGGUUGUAAAGCUCUUUCAGCUGGGAAGAUAAUGACGGUACCAGCAGAAGAAGCCCCGGCUAACUCCGUG